GACGAACGCUGGCGGCGUGCUUAACACAUGCAAGUCGAACGGUGAAGCGCCUUCCUUUUUGGUGGGUGUGGAUGAGUGGCGAACGGGUGAGUAACACGUGAGUAGCCUGCCCCCUUCUUCUGGAUAACCGCAUGAAAGUGUGGCUAAUACGGGAUAUUCUGGGUCUGUCGCAUGAUGGGUCUGGGAAAGAUAUUGUUUCGGUGGGGGAUGGGCUCGCGGCCUAUCAGCUUGUUGGUGGGGUGAUGGCCUACCAAGGCGGUGACGGGUAGCCGGCCUGAGAGGGUGGACGGUCACACUGGGACUGAGACACGGCCCAGACGCCUACGGGAGGCAGCAGUGGGGAAUAUUGCACAAUGGGCGCAAGCCUGAUGCAGCGACGCCGCGUGAGGGAUGGAGGCCUUCGGGUUGUGAACCUCUUUCGCCAGUGAAGCAGGCCUGCCUCGUUUGUGGGUGGGUUGACGGUAGCUGGAUAAGAAGCGCCGGCUAACUACGUG
Molecule: ribosomal RNA, 494 nt
Filed under: uncultured bacterium
Lineage: Bacteria
Description: partial 16S ribosomal RNA
Rfam family: Bacterial small subunit ribosomal RNA
Source: RNAcentral